Molecule: ribosomal RNA, 512 nt
Filed under: uncultured bacterium
Lineage: Bacteria
Description: partial 16S ribosomal RNA
Rfam family: Bacterial small subunit ribosomal RNA
Source: RNAcentral
AGCGAACGUUAGCGGCGGGCCUAACACAUGCAAGUCGAGCGAGAAAGGGGCUUCGGCCCUGAGUAAAGCGGCGGACGGGUGAGUAACACGUAGGUAAUCUUCCUUCGAGCGGGGGACAACGGUCCGAAAGGACCGCUAAUACCGCGUACGUUCCCGAGGACCCUGGUCCUUGGGAGGAAAGCUAGGUCGCAAGAUCCGGCACCCGGAGAGGAGCCUGCGUCGCAUCAGCUAGUUGGUGGGGUAAUGGCCUACCAAGGCGAAGACGCGUAGCUGGUCUGAGAGGAUGAUCAGCCACACUGGGACUGAGACACGGCCCAGACUCCUACGGGAGGCAGCAGUGGGAAUAUUGGACAAUGGGCGCAAGCCUGAUCCAGCCACGCCGCGUGAGUGAUGAAGGCCUUCGGGUCGUAAAGCUCUGUGGGGAGGGACGAACCGCUGCACGUGCAUAGCGUGCAGCGUGACGGUACCUCCUUAGCAAGCACCGGCUAACUUCGUGCCAGCCGCCGCAGUAA